AUUUGUAUAGUAUACCAGUAUAUAUGACUUCCAAUCAUAAGGACUAAAUUCAAUUUAGUACAAAUA
Molecule: transfer RNA, 66 nt
Filed under: Trichocera sp.
Lineage: Eukaryota; Metazoa; Arthropoda; Insecta; Diptera; Trichoceridae
Description: tRNA-Gly
Rfam family: tRNA
About the family: Transfer RNA (tRNA) molecules are approximately 80 nucleotides in length.
Source: RNAcentral